AGCCAAAAGGGAAGUCGGAGCCGCAGCGCUGUCAACCGUAGGUGACGUGCGUUGAUUGGACGGCGCCGGGCGGACAGGGGAAGAAGGCGGGCAGUGAUUGGUCGUUCCGGAGCGGCCUAUUUGAAAGGCUGAGGGAAAGACUGGUGUGUAGGUGUCGGGCGCUGAGAGACUGUAGGCUCUCUUUUCCCCUGGUUUUUCCGCGAUAGGACCUAAAACAGAAGUUUUGACGGAUUGGAGCUACUCCUUUCUGCUACUUACGUGAGACCUGUUGCGAGCAGAUGCAGAUCUCCUGGGCUUGCAGGAAACUCCUGCCCGAACUUGGGUGAAAGGCACCGGAAGAUGCCUUCGGGGAAGAUGGCGGCGCUGCUACCGCACCGCCUUAGCCUGGAACACAGGCGGCUUCCAGCUAUCGAUUUUAUUGACCUGAGCGCCAUGCCGGCUUCCUAACCUCUUUGCCCUCAAGUGUGAUGGCGCUGCGAUUGGGCUUCACGCCCUUUUUUCCCCCAUUACGCGCGCCCAUUGGGCGGCGGCCGAAGAUCGGGCGUUCUGAUUGGAUGGUGGCGAAAGCGGCCUGUUUGAACGAAGCCAACCGAAGCUUAAGGGCAGGAAGCCGAGCCUGGGCGCCGGGUCCCUGCAGCCAGAUCGCAGGCGGGCGGCGGCGAGGUGGCUAGGCGUCUAAGUGACGGGCCCUGUUCUCUGGCAGCCGCUACCUCCCGGAGGAAGGGAAGGAUUUGAGUGACGGAGCCACCCCGGCCAACCUGGGGCUGAGAGUACCCCGGUGGCUUUCUCCGAAUUGGACAACUUCCUGGUGCCCUUUCGGGAGGGGAAAGAACGUUGGCGUUUCCUGCACGCAGGCACCGUACCCCUAUGACACAUUUCAUCUUUUUUUUUUUCUUUGCUACCGUUGUGUAAAGUUCGUGAUAGUUAUCCUCCGUUUCUACAGAUAGGAAAAAUCUCAAAGGGAUUCUGCUUGUAAGGAGAAGAAACAAAGAUUUAAACCCGA
Molecule: long non-coding RNA, 1003 nt
Organism: Nyctereutes procyonoides (raccoon dog)
Lineage: Eukaryota; Metazoa; Chordata; Mammalia; Carnivora; Canidae
Exons: 2
Source: RefSeq, a predicted model, not a curated record